AGAGAGAGUUGAGCUGGAAUGUUAUCAAUAGCAAACGAACUCCGUUGUCACCUGUUUGUUUUCAAUAAUGGAACUUCUAAAUCGAUGAUCGACAACGUUGAACAUGAUCUAUACCACUUGAAGUAUGUAAAAAUCAAAUUUUAAAUCUUUUCGACAUCAUUGGCCUAAUGAUUAAAGGGUUUCAAAAUUUAUAAUUUUAAUAGUCGAUAUAAGACGUUUUCUCGUUUAAUGGCGUAAAGAUAUCCAAAUUAAUUGAAUUUUGAUUAAAAAAUUCUUUGAACUAUUUAGAACAAGAUCUAUACUCUCGAUCUUGAUUACAAGGCUUGUAUUAUCACUUUUUAAAUGAUAUUCAUUUUUAGCCAUUCAUUUUUGUGUCCACUUGAUGGAUAAGAGAACAAUAUCGAAAAAAUAUAAAAUUUUAAUUCUAGAUGUUUCAAAUGGUAUAGAUCGUGUUCAACAGUGUCGAUAUGGAGGCUCCAUCAUUGAAAAUAAAUAGAUGGCAAUGGAGCUCAUUUGCUACUGAUAGCAUUCCAGAUCAGCUCUCUCUCUCUCUCUCUCUCUCUCUAUAUAUAUAUAUAUAUAUAUAUAUAUUAUAAUUAUUAUUA
Molecule: long non-coding RNA, 605 nt
Filed under: Ananas comosus (pineapple)
Lineage: Eukaryota; Viridiplantae; Streptophyta; Magnoliopsida; Poales; Bromeliaceae
Description: long non-coding RNA (ACOM_LNC018306)
Source: RNAcentral